CCUACGGGAGGCAGCAGUGAGGAAUAUUGGGCAAUGCCCGCAAGGGUGACCCAGCAACGCCGGGUGGAGGAUGAAUGGGGUAAGGUUGUAAACUCCUGUUAGAGGGGAAGAAUAAUUCCGAUUGCAUCGGAACUUGACGUUACCCUCAGAGAAAGCCCCGGC
Molecule: ribosomal RNA, 162 nt
Filed under: uncultured bacterium
Lineage: Bacteria
Description: partial 16S ribosomal RNA
Rfam family: Bacterial small subunit ribosomal RNA
Source: RNAcentral